RNAcentral lists this transfer RNA (73 nucleotides) under Kordiimonadales bacterium. Its description in RNAcentral is "tRNA-Gly". It matches the Rfam family "tRNA". Rfam says of the family: Transfer RNA (tRNA) molecules are approximately 80 nucleotides in length. The record is from RNAcentral. Lineage: Bacteria; Pseudomonadati; Pseudomonadota; Alphaproteobacteria; Kordiimonadales.
GCAAAUAUACAUUAAUKGGUUAAAUCGUUUGUCUUCCAAACAAAUAAUAUGAGUUCGAGUCUCAUUAUUUGCU